Molecule: unclassified non-coding RNA, 241 nt
Filed under: plant metagenome
Description: partial contains small subunit ribosomal RNA, internal transcribed spacer 1, and 5.8S ribosomal RNA
Source: RNAcentral
UUUCCGUAGGUGAACCUGCGGAAGGAUCAUUCACAAUAAGUGUUUUAUGGCACUUUUUAAAACCUCAAACUCCACCUUUUGUGUAACUUUAUGAGACCCUCUAUCCUUAUCUUUUAUGUUAAGGAAUGGGGAACCUCCUCAACUUACCAACAACACCUUUAACUUAUUUGUCUGAACAUUUUUUAUCACUAAUUAACUUCAUUCGCAAAUACAACUUUCAACAACGGAUCUCUUGGAUCUC